GGGGCCGUGGCGCAGUUGGGAGCGCGCUUGCAUGGCAUGCAAGAGGUCAUGGGUUCGACCCCCAUCGGCUCCA
Molecule: transfer RNA, 73 nt
Filed under: Planctomycetota bacterium
Lineage: Bacteria; Pseudomonadati; Planctomycetota
Description: Planctomycetes bacterium (anaerobic digester metagenome) tRNA-Ala
Rfam family: tRNA
About the family: Transfer RNA (tRNA) molecules are approximately 80 nucleotides in length.
Source: RNAcentral